GUUGGCAUGCCGGAGUUUUUAUCGGGCAUGACUAGAAAUCAUGAGGAAUUUGCCCGCACAGGUUCGAAUCAUGCUGCUCACG
Ipomoea nil (Japanese morning glory) is the source of this 82-nucleotide transfer RNA. It matches the Rfam family "tRNA". Rfam says of the family: Transfer RNA (tRNA) molecules are approximately 80 nucleotides in length. Their secondary structure includes four short double-helical elements and three loops (D, anti-codon, and T loops). NCBI's taxonomy places the organism in Eukaryota, Viridiplantae, Streptophyta, Magnoliopsida, Solanales, Convolvulaceae. The record is from Rfam.